Molecule: ribosomal RNA, 253 nt
Filed under: uncultured bacterium
Lineage: Bacteria
Description: partial 16S ribosomal RNA
Rfam family: Bacterial small subunit ribosomal RNA
Source: RNAcentral
UACGUAGGAUGCAAGCGUUGUCCGUAUUUAUUGGGUUUAAAGGGUGCGUAGGCGGCCUAUUAAGUUAGUGGUGAAAACGUUCGGCUUAACCGGAUACCCGCCAUUGAUACUGAUAGACUUGAGUGCGACAGAGGGUGUUGGAAUGUGUGGUGUAGCGGUGAAAUGCUUAGAGAUCACGUAGAACACCAAUUGCGAAGGCAGAUGCCUAUGUCGUAACUGACGAUGAGGCACGAAAGCGUGGGGAGCAAACAGG